This 253-nucleotide ribosomal RNA is filed under the name uncultured bacterium. RNAcentral describes it as "partial 16S ribosomal RNA". It matches the Rfam family "Bacterial small subunit ribosomal RNA", at positions 524 to 776 of the family's 1533-position model. The record is from RNAcentral.
UACGAAGGGGGCUAGCGUUGCUCGGAAUCACUGGGCGUAAAGCGCACGUAGGCGGAUUGUUAAGUCAGGGGUGAAAUCCCGGGGCUCAACCCCGGAACUGCAUUCGAUACUGGCGGGCUAGAGACCGGAAGAGGUGGGUGGAAUACCCAGUGUAGAGGUGAAAUUCGUAGAUAUUGGGUGGAACACCGGUGGCGAAGGCGGCUCACUGGUCCGGUUCUGACGCUGAGGCGCGAAAGCGUGGGGAGCAAACAGG